This 328-nucleotide unclassified non-coding RNA is filed under the name soil metagenome. Its description in RNAcentral is "partial contains 5.8S ribosomal RNA, internal transcribed spacer 2, and large subunit ribosomal RNA". The stretch from base 3 to 119 matches the Rfam family "5.8S ribosomal RNA", at positions 38 to 154 of the family's 154-position model. The record is from RNAcentral.
GAGAAGAACGCAGUGAAAUGCGAUACGUAAUGUGAAUUGCAGAUUUCAGUGAAUCAUCGAAUCUUUGAACGCACAUUGCGCCCGCCAGUAUUCUGGCGGGCAUGCCUGUUCGAGCGUCAUUUCAACCAUCAAGCCUUCGCUUGUGUUGGGGCCCCGCGGCUGCCGCGGUCCCCUAAAUCCAGUGGCGGGCUCGUCGUCGUACCGAGCGCAGUAGACAUCCUCGCUCCGGGAACCCGACGGGUGCCGGCCGUGAAACCCCCCACAUCAAGGUUGACCUCGGAUCAGGUAGGAAUACCCGCUGAACUUAAGCAUAUCAAUAAGCGGAGGA